UACGGAGGGUGCAAGCGUUAAUCGGAAUUACUGGGCGUAAAGCGCAUGCAGGUGGUUUGUUAAGUCAGAUGUGAAAGCCCUGGGCUCAACCUAGGAGUUGCAUUUGAAACUGACAAGCUAGAGUACUGUAGAGGGGGGUAGAAUUUCAGGUGUAGCGGUGAAAUGCGUAGAGAUCUGAAGGAAUACCGGUGGCGAAGGCGGCCCCCUGGACAGAUACUGACACUCAGAUGCGAAAGCGUGGGGAGCAAAC
RNAcentral lists this ribosomal RNA (250 nucleotides) under uncultured Gammaproteobacteria bacterium. RNAcentral describes it as "partial 16S ribosomal RNA". It matches the Rfam family "Bacterial small subunit ribosomal RNA", at positions 524 to 773 of the family's 1533-position model. Lineage: Bacteria; Pseudomonadati; Pseudomonadota; Gammaproteobacteria. The record is from RNAcentral.